CCUACGGGUGGCUGCAGUGAGGAAUAUUGGUCAAUGGACGCAAGUCUGAACCAGCCAUGCCGCGUGCAGGAAGACGGCUCUAUGAGUGGUAAACUUCUUUUGUAAGAGGGUAAACGCAGAUACGCGUAUCUGUCUGAGAGUACCGUACGAAUAAGGAUAGGCUAACUCCGUGCCAGCAGACGCGGGAAUACGGAGGAUUCAAGCGUUAUCCGGAUUUAUUGGGGUUAAAGAGUGCGUAGGCGGUCGGAUAAGUUAGAGGUGAAAUCCCGGGGCUCAAAUUCGGAGUUGCCUGUGAUACGGUUCGUCUAGAGAGUAGUUGCGGUAGGCGGAAUGUAUGGUGUAGCGGUGAAAUGCUUAGAGAUCAUACAGAACACCGAUUGCGAAGGCAGCUUACCAAGCUACUUCUGACGUUGAGGCACGAAAGCGUGGGGAGCAAACAGGAUUAGAUACCCUUGUAGUC
This 460-nucleotide ribosomal RNA is filed under the name uncultured bacterium. RNAcentral's name for it is "partial 16S ribosomal RNA". It matches the Rfam family "Bacterial small subunit ribosomal RNA", at positions 338 to 795 of the family's 1533-position model. The record is from RNAcentral.